GAAGAUCGUAAAUAGUAUUAGGAACAAACGUUUUAUUAUAUGGAAACUAUAAUGCUUGCUAUAAAUGAAAGAAUACUCAGGAUAAACUCUGCACCACCCGCCAGCUAACAUCAACAUUCCGAAAAUUAAAACAAAAAAUUGCUAGUAAUUUGGGUACCUAAAAAAACACAAUAAAAAAAGACGAUUAAUGAAAGACAACAAAACGUAUUAAAAAGAAAAUAAAAAUACAAAUCAAGACUAUGCCUUCCAUUUCAACAAUGAUAACAAAACGCACAACACAAAACCAAAACCAGAACCACAGACGCAACAUUAACUUGAAACGUCAUACUAUGUCAAGUGUCAAACAGCGUUAUGUCAUCCGUCACGGUCACAAAGAGAUGACAUGCUAUUUGUCAACACAAUAUUAUUUAUUGUUGAAUUACGUAUAAAUUAGUGUUUCAAAAUGACGGUGUAUGUAAAAUUAAUAUAAUGUUGUACAAAUCCAUAAGCAAACAAAGGGACAGUGAAUCAUGCCAACGACGGUUACAUUACAAUAAUAAUAGUAGGAGGUAUACAAAAUAUGCAAACUUAAAAAGAUACCUCCUACCUGAAGAGUUAACAGAUGACAAAGAAAGAUACAAAAUGAUUUAACUCGUCGAGUACCGUCAUUAUAGACACAAUUAUAAAACAAUAGUAUGCGGCCACCGGUGACCGCUUGGUGUUGGACAGUUUAAUACGGAAGCCAAAGCAAAUCCGAUGGAACAAACACACAACUUCCGCCAACCUCCUCCGCACCACGCUUGGUACUGGAUGAUGAAGUGCUUUGCGUCCUUGGGUACUUGGCUAGCAGAGGCUUCAGCUCAUCCAUCGAAGACACUUUACACCGCUUCCCAUCUGAGGCCUUGACGAAGAUUACACCAUCCUGUGUCCAGCAAGACCUCACGCCGAAGUGCUGUCGUGCUUUUGCAAAGACACACUGUCUCUCACGGGUCAGAAACUCUCUGAUGGCAAUCUUCGUACCCUUUAAUCCGGUUUUGGCCCGCCAGACAGACUGUUUGAUAUCCACACUGGCAAACCGGACCAGAAGAGGCCGGUGGUGAUCCGCACUGGUCUGCCCCAGUCUGUGCGAAACCUUGACAGAUGAUGAGGAACUCCAUGGAUGAUCAACGCUUUUCGACGGCUCCUUGUUGCGAGAUCAUCUAUCUGCUGAGAGCACUCAGUGAGCUGGCGGCGCAUGGUGCCCAGCACGCUAUACAUGAGUACUCUGAAGGUUCGAAACUCAUCUGCCAGCUUCGCAAGUGUGUCCUUUCCGGAGCCUGCCGCCUCGAUCUGAGCGUUGACUGCCUCCAACUGAUUCACAACCAGCUCUUGCAGUGGUGUGAACUUUUCCUCCAAGGAUUUUUGUGUUGAACGGACUUCGGCUAUUUCAGACAUGGUGAUUUGUGAUAACUGUGAUAACUGUGAUUGUGGUACUCAAUAAAGUUCUGUUGAUGAGCUGGCAGGUGGCGUGCCAAGUUGGUUUUAUUUGCCCAGGGUUAUUACAGGCACUACGUCCAGCCAAUCUGUCUGAUAGAUAACCGAGCACGUUUGGACAC
Molecule: non-coding RNA, 1574 nt
Organism: Spodoptera litura
Lineage: Eukaryota; Metazoa; Arthropoda; Insecta; Lepidoptera; Noctuidae
Source: RefSeq, a predicted model, not a curated record